AUGAGUCCACAGCGAGGAGCUGGACCCAGAAGUAUGCAAUGGGCUGACCCUGGAGCCGCGCUUGGAGGAUGAUGUUGGGGCCAUCUUCGCUUGUUACACCUAAUGUAUCUUUGUUCCUGUUCUGCUGCUGCUAUAUGGGAUUGUACUGUCCACCUACCUGACUGAAUUCAAGUGUCAUAUUGUGAAGUGAUGGCAGAAGGCCUCUAUGGGUCUAUGGGUGCACCCAUCCAACAAAUUAAUAGAGAUGGGAACC
This 253-nucleotide long non-coding RNA is filed under the name Triticum aestivum (bread wheat). RNAcentral describes it as "long non-coding RNA (TAES_LNC018121)". The record is from RNAcentral. Lineage: Eukaryota; Viridiplantae; Streptophyta; Magnoliopsida; Poales; Poaceae.